CCGGGGGUCUGGACACAGCCAACAUCUGACAUCACACCAGCCCUCGCUCUGUUCCCAGCGUCCUCUUCAUCUCUCCGGUCUCUGUCGGAGCGUGGCGUCCCCGGGGCCUCGGGUUAUGGAGGGAUCGGGCCGGAUCAGAGAUAAUGGCCCUGUCUGGACCCGCUUCAGUCCGGAUGACACUUUCAGAUACCUGCGGCAGUCACACCUGGAAGACCUCAUCCCCCCCCGAGCUCCUGCUUUCUCCUUCCAUCUCUUUAUCGCUCUGGAAAUUUCUCUCUUGAUUUGCUUUUCUAAAAGAAAAGAGAGCUUAUUCAGCUGUCCAAAGAAAUACAUCGCCAAAAUAUAAAUUCAAAACCUUUACAGAAAUAACACACAGAUGAAUUUUAAAUAGACCAAUCUUCUAUUCAGUUGUUUCUCUUAAGUUCUUGUUAUCUAUCCAACAGUCUCUCCCUCUCUCUCUCUCUCUCUCUCUCUCUCUCCAGCAGUUGGAGUUGUUAAUUUGGUGAUGCUGGAGGUCUUGCGAGGCUAAUAGCUUUCCCAGUAAAAAGAUGCCACGGCGUCCCUCAGGGAUGAUGAUCUGACACCAGUCCAACCACAGAGAAGAGUGAACUGGAAACCCGUGUCUCUACCAAACAACAGCAUCAGGGAAAAUGGAUUUGAUUUCCAGAAUCUUAAUCUGAAUGAAGUCGAGCUGCUCCUCUCAAAGCCAACAGUUGUUCAGCAUUUGAACCAAUAACCUCCGUGAUCCUGAUACUGUUCUGCUGCUGAUGUCAAACAUCUCUGAGGUGGAGAAUGAAGACGCUGACAGUCAGCAGAGCAGAACUGCUUUCAUUUAUAUCUGAGCUUCGUGACGGGGAAACAGAAGCGCCAGCGCUCUACAGAAAGAGAUCUGCUGGCCUGUUUUGAUGCACUGCUGAGAUAUCUGACCUGCGCUCGUCUUCUGUGGAUCAG
Triplophysa dalaica is the source of this 951-nucleotide long non-coding RNA. RefSeq lists it as uncharacterized. The record is from RefSeq and is a predicted model, not a curated record. The transcript is spliced from 7 exons. Lineage: Eukaryota; Metazoa; Chordata; Actinopteri; Cypriniformes; Nemacheilidae.